This 2009-nucleotide long non-coding RNA is filed under the name Pollicipes pollicipes. RNAcentral describes it as "uncharacterized LOC119090457". The record is from RNAcentral. Lineage: Eukaryota; Metazoa; Arthropoda; Thecostraca; Pollicipedomorpha; Pollicipedidae.
GUCGGCGCGAAUAAGGCCAUCGAAACGGACAGGGACACACCCCACUUCUUACCGGCAAGUCACGAGCAGAGCGAAAAGCCAACUCAACAAAAGAUCAUGGGAUCGUGUCAAGUGGUGAUCGAGUACUGCGGCGGAUGAGGGUACGAGCCCCGGUACCGGAAGCUACAGGAACUGAUCCAGUCCAAUGUACCCGGUGCCGAGGUUCAAGGAUUCAUCGGCAGAACCAGCUCCUUCGAGGUGAGAAUCAACGAGCGGCUAGUCUACUCCAAGCUGCAGGAAAAGUCGCUCCCCAACUUCGAGGAGGUGGUUGCUGUGGUGAAGGACGUGUCGGACGGCCGGCCGAUCCGGCAGGUGGGGGAGAGGCAGUCUUCCGCGUGCGACAUCGUGUAAGGCAGCCGCGGUCCCUGCACCAUCCGUCCAAUCGGCCCACGCGGUCGGCCGCCCCCUGACUACGUCCAGAGGGAACGAUUACGCAGUCGCCCGUCACACCAUCCGGACACAUCUCGGCUUCAGCAGCGGGCUGCAGUAGCUGCUUCGCUGUUUGCAUUAUGCCACGUUGGGCACCCGCGGAGUUAACUAGCCCGCAAAUGAUGUUUGGCAGGCCUUGUCUCAUUAGCGUCACGUGGCAAGAGGAAUUUUCACUACUAUCACUGCUGGAGGUGCGCACCUGCUCGCAAUUUCGUCCGAGUUGAGCUAGAGAUACGAAGCAAAAAGUUAAUGACAGCCUGGUGUGUAAGAAGUUGGGCAAUGUUUUUUUCGCCUUCUGGAGGCGAUCAAUGACCCUCCAGGCUACGUCCACCACUUGAAAAAACUGUGCCACCUCGAAGCAUAAAACGACCUGUUUAGAGACAAUCAGAUACACGGUCGCGUUUUAGGGCUCAGUGCAAACAAGUGACUUAUAACUGGUCUAAGUGUGUACUAGAUCGUCGUAGGCUGUUAACCUAGCUCACUCUUGAAAAGGUCAUUUAUUAUUGAAAUGUAACCUUAUGUCUGCAGAUCGUCAUCCGAUAGUUUUUUAUGGCCAGAAAUGCCAUUUUUACCAUUGAACAGCAAAAGCUAACGUAUGUUGGUAAAAUUUGUUCUGUUAAUCUUAAGAGAUGACGUGCCGGCCAUGUGGCCUGAUGUGACCUCGCAUUUCAUUUGUUUUAAAUGGCGUACGCAAUCGACAACGCCAAAUUUUACGCCGCUGCCAUUAGUCGUUUUCCCUGCCCGGAAUUAUGCUGAUUAUGGAAAUAUUUCGUCUAGCGAGGAUCAAAAUACCCCUGUUCUACCCAAAGCGAGGGGCACGCGAUAUGGGGACAUUGUAUCGUUAAUUUAGCUUCAUGGCUGGGUUCCUUUGAAAUUCGUUGCAACUGUGUCACGCAUUUCUGUGCUCCAAAAGUGUAAUUGACCGACAUUCUACGACGCUCCUUUAUCCAGAGGGCAUGGUUUACCGUCUUAGCUGUGAGCCAAAGACAGAGCUGACUACCCGUGAUGGGUUAAGAACCAAUUUGGAUGAAAGAAGUGUGACAUACGCUUGACUGGUGGUUCUCAAACUGCAAAAUGCGUAAAAGGAAUUUAGUAAUUGUUGGGAACUGGCAGAUGGUCUUUCGUUUUAAUUUGAAUCGCGACUACCUUGCCACUUGAGAGACGCUUUUUGGGUGCAUGCUUUGGCACGUUGAAAAAUGUUUUGAUUAAUCGCCUGCUCAGAUUUUCUCAACGCACGGAAAAGGGCCCAAUCGCUCCACCCGUGAAUCCCAUUGUCUAUAAUAAGUCAUCAAGUUCCCAUUGCUUUGUGGCCUCGAAUGCUUUAAAGAUCAUAGAGGUACUUAUCACCCAGUUCUUUGCGUAACAACAGGACCGUUACACUAGUAAUAAACUGAGCGUAUACGUCUACCAAGUGUCAUGGCUCUCAACUAUGAGCUCGAUUUUCUCCACUAUUUUGUAUCGCCAGCUUUACUGCAGAUGUAACGAAACUGAAGCUUCUUGGCUUGUGAGAAUACCGUCGAUAUGCUUAUUAAAGACACCGG